This 253-nucleotide ribosomal RNA is filed under the name uncultured bacterium. RNAcentral describes it as "partial 16S ribosomal RNA". It matches the Rfam family "Bacterial small subunit ribosomal RNA", at positions 524 to 776 of the family's 1533-position model. The record is from RNAcentral.
UACGAAGGGGGCGAGCGUUGUUCGGAAUUACUGGGCGUAAAGGGCGCGCAGGCGGCUCUGAAAGUCAGAUGUGAAAGCCCCGGGCUUAACCUGAGAAUUGCAUUUGAUACUCUGGAGCUUGAGUACGGGAGAGGAGAGUGGAAUUCCCAGUGUAGAGGUGAAAUUCGUAGAUAUUGGGAAGAACAACGGUGGCGAAGGCGGCUCUCUGGACCGUAACUGACGCUGAGGCGCGAAAGCGUGGGGAGCAAACAGG